AUUGAACGCUGGCGGCAGGCCUAACACAUGCAAGUCGAGCGGAUGAAGGGAGCUUGCUCCUGGAUUCAGCGGCGGACGGGUGAGUAAUGCCUAGGAAUUUGCCUGGUAGUGGGGGAUAACGUCCGGAAACGGGCGCUAAUACCGCAUACGUCCUGAGGGAGAAAGUGGGGGAUCUUCGGACCUCACGCUAUCAUAUGAGCCUAGGUCGGAUUAGCUAGUUGGUGGGGUAAAGGCCUACCAAGGCGACGAUCCGUAACUGGUCUGAGAGGAUGAUCAGUCACACUGGAACUGAGACACGGUCCAGACUCCUACAGGAGGCAGCAGUGGGGAAUAUUGGACAAUGGGCGAAAGCCUGAUCCAGCCAUGCCGCGUGUGUGAAGAAGGUCUUCGGAUUGUAAAGCACUUUAAGUUGGGAGGAAGGGCAGUAAGUUAAUACCUUGCUGUUUUGACGUUACCAACAGAAUAAGCACCGGCUAACUUCGUG
Molecule: ribosomal RNA, 484 nt
Filed under: uncultured bacterium
Lineage: Bacteria
Description: partial 16S ribosomal RNA
Rfam family: Bacterial small subunit ribosomal RNA
Source: RNAcentral